CCCUUUGGGGAAUUUUCCGCAAUGGGCGAAAGCCUGACGGAGCAAUACCGCGUGAGGGAGGAAGGCUCUUGGGUUGUAAACCUCUUUUCUCAAGGAAUAAUAAGUUGAAGGUACUUGAGGAAUCAGCAUCGGCUAACUCCGUGCCAGCAGCCGCGGUAAUACGGAGGAUGCAAGCGUUAUCCGGAAUGAUUGGGCGUAAAGGGUCCGCAGGUGGUUUUUCAAGUCGGCUGUUAAAGAAUCUGGCUCAACUAGAUAAAGGCAGUGGAAACUGAAAGACUAGAGUACAGUAGGGGUAGAGGGAAUUCCCAGUGUAGCGGUGAAAUGCGUAGAGAUUGGGAAGAACACCGGUGGCGAAAGCGCUUCUGCUGGACUGAAACUGACACUGAGGAUCGAAAUGGGU
This 400-nucleotide ribosomal RNA is filed under the name Aulosira pseudoramosa VB511290. RNAcentral's name for it is "bacterial SSU rRNA". It matches the Rfam family "Bacterial small subunit ribosomal RNA", at positions 350 to 766 of the family's 1533-position model. The record is from RNAcentral. Lineage: Bacteria; Bacillati; Cyanobacteriota; Cyanophyceae; Nostocales; Fortieaceae.